This 461-nucleotide ribosomal RNA is filed under the name uncultured bacterium. RNAcentral describes it as "partial 16S ribosomal RNA". It matches the Rfam family "Bacterial small subunit ribosomal RNA", at positions 338 to 795 of the family's 1533-position model. The record is from RNAcentral.
CCUACGGGGGGCAGCAGUGAGGAAUAUUGGUCAAUGGACGCAAGUCUGAACCAGCCAUGCCGCGUGCAUGAAGACGGCUCUAUGAGUUGUAAACUGCUUUUGUACGGGGGCAAAUGCAGAUACGCGUAUCUGUCUGAAAGUCUCGUACGAAUAAGGAUCGGCUAACCCCGUGCCAGCAGCCGCGGUAAUACGGAUGAUUCAAGCGUUAUCCGGGUUUAUUGGGUUUAAAGGGUGCGUAGGCGGUCGGAUAAGUUAGAGGUGAAAUCCCGAGGGUCAACUUCGGAAUUGCCUCUGAUAAUGUUCGGCUAGAGAGUAGGUGCGGUAGGCGGAAUGUAUGGUGUAGCGGUGAAAUGCUUAGAGAUCAUACAGGACACCGAUUGCGAAGGCAGCUUACCAAGCUACUUCUGACGUUGGGGCACGAAAGCGUGGGGAGCAAACAGGAUUAGAUACCCUCUGUAGUC